Molecule: ribosomal RNA, 653 nt
Filed under: uncultured bacterium
Lineage: Bacteria
Description: bacterial SSU rRNA
Rfam family: Bacterial small subunit ribosomal RNA
Source: RNAcentral
AAAAGGUGGCUAUGCUACCGCUUUUGGAUGGGCCCGCGGCGCAUUAGCUAGUUGGUGGGGUAAAGGCUUACCAAGGCAAUGAUGCGUAGCCGAACUGAGAGGUUGAUCGGCCACAUUGGGACUGAGACACGGCCCAAACUCCUACGGGAGGCAGCAGUAGGGAAUCCUCCACAAUGGGCGAAAGCCUGAUGGAGCAACGCCGCGUGGGUGAAGAAGGUCUUCGGAUCGUAAAACCCUGUUGUUAGAGAAGAAAGUGCGUGAGAGUAACUGUUCACGUUUCGACGGUAUCUAACCAGAAAGCCACGGCUAACUACGUGCCAGCAGCCGCGGUAAUACGUAGGUGGCAAGCGUUAUCCGGAUUUAUUGGGCGUAAAGGGAACGCAGGCGGUCUUUUAAGUCUGAUGUGAAAGCCUUCGGCUUAACCGGAGUAGUGCAUUGGAAACUGGGAGACUUGAGUGCAGAAGAGGAGAGUGGAACUCCAUGUGUAGCGGUGAAAUGCGUAGAUAUAUGGAAGAACACCAGUGGCGAAAGCGGCUCUCUGGUCUGUAACUGACGCUGAGGUUCGAAAGCGUGGGUAGCAAACAGGAUUAGAUACCCUGGUAGUCCACGCCGUAAACGAUGAAUGCUAAGUGUUGGAGGGUUUCCGCCCUUCA